This 246-nucleotide ribosomal RNA is filed under the name uncultured Dyadobacter sp. RNAcentral describes it as "partial 16S ribosomal RNA". It matches the Rfam family "Bacterial small subunit ribosomal RNA", at positions 82 to 327 of the family's 1533-position model. The record is from RNAcentral. Lineage: Bacteria; Pseudomonadati; Bacteroidota; Cytophagia; Cytophagales; Spirosomataceae.
GGCAGCAAUGUCACCGUCGUACGGGUGCGUAACGCGUAUGCAACCUACCUAUCACUGGGGGAUAGCCCGGGGAAACCCGGAUUAAUACCGCAUAACACAGGGGCUCCACAUGGAGAUAUUUGUUAAAGAUUUAUCGGUGGUAGAUGGGCAUGCGUUCGAUUAGCUAGUUGGCGGGGUAACGGCCCACCAAGGCGACGAUCGAUAGGGGAGCUGAGAGGUUGAUCCCCCACACGGGCACUGAGAUAC